Malania oleifera is the source of this 738-nucleotide long non-coding RNA. RefSeq lists it as uncharacterized. The transcript has 2 exons. Lineage: Eukaryota; Viridiplantae; Streptophyta; Magnoliopsida; Santalales; Ximeniaceae. The record is from RefSeq and is a predicted model, not a curated record.
ACCAGAAAGUUAUGUUGCCAAUAGUACAUCCCCACAUUGUGGAAUGGAAAUCUGUAUUGUAUUCAGCAGGAGAAUCAGCUGUUCGUGUUGCCGCCUUGGGCCCUUCAAGUACGUCUUGCAAAGGGUGUGAAAGCGUUUGGCAGCCCCAUGGGCGCCAGCCUCAGAAUUGCAGAGACCAUGGAAUGCAGGUAUCAAAGAAAGCAGCAGUUCAUUAGAUGAAGAUUGAUGAAGGUGGAGACACAAUGGUCCCACUUGCAUCUGUCUUUAAUUGCUUGUCUCCUACCCAGACACCAUCUUUCUCGAACGGCAAUUCUGGAUCUGAGCUGAGGAUAAGAUAUGAGAGGAUGCAGCAGAGGGCCUUGAAGUCCCAUCGGCUAGGCUGAGUAGUCUUGUCUCUGUUGGAUUAUUUAUUUAUUUUUGAAAACUGGUAUUGAAUAAUGGUUGGUACUUGCUGCCAUAUGCAAAUGCCGGUGAGUCGAUACCAAUCCACGCUUCACAAAUUUCAGCCAUGUCUCGUGUCCAUAGAAAUCCACGCUUCACAAAUUUCAGCCAUGUUUCUUGUGUUUCAUAACCAGGUUUUUCAUUUAUUUUGCCUUUGGAGGCGUACAGUUGAGCAGUAGAUUUGGAUUUAAUAGAAUUUGAUGAAACUUUUGAGUUAUGUUUGAAAGUUUGGAUUUUAGAUUUUGAAUUUUGAAUUUAAAACUCAUCUGACCUUGAAUGAAAUUUCAAAUUUGGUAU